UCUUCUCUAUAUGAGAAUCUCAUUCUCUCUGAUUCUCUUCAUCUCUUCACUAAACUCAAUCUGCUCAUCACAGUCAAGAUGUUGAUCAUAUUCUACUGCCUUAUUCUCACUCUUCUGUCAUCUGUCAGAUGUGUGAAAGUGGUCACUCAGAAACACUCCAGUAUUUACAAACAAGAAGGCAAAUCUUGGAUUACGGACUGUAACAUUGAAAAGGAUGAGGGUCAAUACGUCAGCUGGUAUAAACAGAUUCCAAACGCAGCUCCUCAGUUUGUGUUGAGAUACUAUCAUUCUCACAGCGCCCCUGACAAAUAUGGGGAUGGUUUUACUUCCAGCCACUUCAGAAGUAAAGCUCAGUCAAAUAUUGACUAUCAGCUGAUCAUCAGUAACUUGGGUAUGGAUGAUUCUGCAGUGUAUUACUGUGGCACAUGGGACAGCUCUGGUAGUGAGUACGUUUCACAUUGAUUCACAGCAUGACAAAAACCUCCUCAAUGCUCACAUUCACUUCUGCUUUUAGACAAAUAAGAGCACUUCACAGCUCAGAUUCCUGAUGAAUUAAAACAUCAGAGAUGGUUAAAAUACCCUGCAGGUUCUUUGCUAAUUUGUCCUGUAAUUGCAUUUAUCUCUUUUGUCCUGUUUGUAGCUGGACAGUCAC
Labeo rohita (rohu) is the source of this 652-nucleotide non-coding RNA. The record is from the annotation of a RefSeq genome assembly. NCBI's taxonomy places the organism in Eukaryota, Metazoa, Chordata, Actinopteri, Cypriniformes, Cyprinidae.